RNAcentral lists this ribosomal RNA (1245 nucleotides) under Triticum aestivum (bread wheat). RNAcentral's name for it is "partial small subunit ribosomal RNA". Lineage: Eukaryota; Viridiplantae; Streptophyta; Magnoliopsida; Poales; Poaceae. The record is from RNAcentral.
AUGCCGGGAGGGACGACUCUUGCCACCGUCGGUGAGCUCAUCGACCAUGACAACGGGACGUGGCGGCGGGAAUUGAUCUACAAUGUUUUCAUUCGACCGGACGCCGACGCCAUAUUGAAUAUCCCCUUGCGCCGCGGUGGGGGUGAUGAUUUUCGAGCUUGGGUUUUUGAAAGAAGCGGCAACUACUCCGUAAAAUCUGCGUACCGUGCUCUCGUGACUCGGAAAGAGCGGCUAGCUCAAGAGGAAGGGGCGGUUACAAACUCCUCACAGACCGAUGAACGGAUGUGGAAGUCGCUUUGGAAGCUCAAGGUUUUGCCGAAGGUACGUGUAUUCUGGUGGCGGGUUAUUCGUCGCAUUCUUCCAGAUGAGUGCACGCUUCGGUAUCGUCAUAUCAAACCUAUAAGCAGAUGCAAUGUCUGCCAUGCAAUGGAUGAGGAUCUCAUGCACGCCUUAGUGCAUUGCUCUCAUGCCAAACUUUUCUGGGAGCAGGCUCACGGUCUCUUUGGCGUUCGACGGCCGCGGCUGCACCCUGAUACAUGGUCUCGUGAUAUCAUAUGUGAUGAUCAAUUCACGGACACUGAAAGGGCCCAAAUGAUCUCUGUUAUGUGGGCAAUCUGGCACUCGAGAAAUCGAGUGACUCAUGAUGAUGACCAGCUGGAGCCUUUCACUUCAGUGAGGCGGAUUCGGGAGGACUUGGCAUUGCUGGAUAUCCCGCAUUCUCAUGCUGCAGUGCUACCAAGUCAUGGUUGGAGACCGCCGGACUCAUGGGUGGUUAAGAUCAACACGGAUGCAGCUUUGAGUAUGGAUUCCGACAAGGUGGGUGUGGGUGGUGUAGCACGUUCUAACACAACCUUGUUGGGUGCUUGGAGUAAACCUCAUAUUGGGGUCACAGAUCCUUUUAUCGGUGAGACGCUCGCGCUUCGAGAUGGAAUUAUUUUUGCAAAUCUACGGGGCUUCUCACAUGUGAUAAUGGAAACGAAUUGCCUGGAGAUUGUUAAUCUCUGGAACACUCGCCACAACAGCCUCCCUGUGGUGGCACCUUUACUUGUCGAAAUUGGAGAGCUAGCUGCUACUUUUUCUUCUUUUGUUAUUCAACAUGUAAUGCGAGUAGCCAAUGUACUGGCCCACCUUUGUGCGAAACAUGCAUGUACACUGGUGGUCACCGAGAGUUGGACUGACUCGAGACCCUCUUUCCUGCUCACCAGCCUUUUGGCUGAUGAUGCCAGGAGCUCGUUCGUUGAAUAA